UUCCACAAUAAACUAAAGUUAACAUUCGAAUUACAUGCGCAUUUUUAUUUUAUGCCAUCGUGUGGGUGCUACCUAAUAAAGUUAACAUAAAGUGCUGUGUUCUUAGCAAUAUAUUGGGCUCAAAUAUAAACAUAGUACUUUGAGCAUUACCGAAAGGCACCUCGGAAAAUACACAUGAUAGAAGUGAAUACUUUUUAUCGGUUCAUUGAGAGUGAGAGUAUAGCUAUAGCGAAUAUUAUGCCUUUAUGGUAACUGAAGUAUGAAACAUAUGUUCAUGAUUCUAAAUAGUGCAAUUUCUAGUGAAUAGAGUUCGUUCUUCCUGAUUUAGUCGCGGCAACUUUCCGGUCGUUAUUCAUAUCUAUACCGAGUUUUUCACGAAGAAAGUGAAGUAGUGGCAAGGACGCAAUAUCCGCAAAAUUUAUAUUAAAGUGACUACCGAGAGUUCAUGGUAUGUGAUCAUCACCCCUGCUAAAAAGAGUAGCACCGCCAUGAGUGUAUAUAACCAACGAACUCUGUAUGCAAUACCUGAUAUCCUCAAGUUUUAUUUGAGAUAUGUAGAUCGUUGCAAUGACAAGUUCUUUUCCGUUGGAUAUUUUUCAUUUACUCAAGCUGAUAUCGCCAAUUUCAAUCAAAGGAAUUAUAUGUGCAGUAGAAUAUAUUGCACUCAUAUCAUAUCAUAUUCGUAUCACUGCAUGUAUGAGAUUCUCGGAGCUCGAAGACUUUAGCACUCAACGGUGUACUUAUAUUGAUAACUUUUUCUUUGGCGAAUAAAAUCAAGUAUUUGUUUACCAACGAAUGUUUUACUAUAAACAAAUAAUAUCAAAAGAAUUUCGUCUCAAGAUGGCGGCUGGCAAAUCUUGCAUUCUAUCCUAAUUGAUUCCAUCAUGAUCUGUUAUCGUAACUUUUAACCUUUUCAUUCAAAUUCUUUUCAUUGUUGCAAGGGCGUCGGUUUCAAAUGGUAUGUAAUAGAAUAAUAGAAAUAUUUUGAAGAAUGAUUAAUAAGAAUAAAAAUAAGAAACUCUAAAAUAUUUAUUUUAAAAAUUUCAUAACAUUUAGCAUUAUUAAACCGAAUUACUUUUAUACCAAUCGUUACUUGCCUAAUGUGGAAUGUAUAGUCGCAAAUCGCUUGUAUUUUUACAGAAUAUUGACGUUUACGCGAAUAGUAAAUUUUAUGCUGCAUAACUGGAGUUUCGGCUAAUUUUAUUUCGGAACCAUCGAAGUAGCCUACCCACCUUGGCAUUUCUUUGGCAGUUGUAGAUGCAAUCUCCAGCUUCCUCUCAUUGGGCCGGUAUAAAACUCAUUUUUAAUCGCAAUAUGGUUUUAAAAGGCGUUGGUUACAUUUUAAUAGUGCCUCCAUUAUCCACACGGACUAAGAAGCCACUUUGUGAACAGAUUGUUCAUCGUCGGAAGAUCCCAACCGAUAUGGCACUAUUUUGAG
Bactrocera oleae (olive fruit fly) is the source of this 1438-nucleotide non-coding RNA. The record is from RefSeq and is a predicted model, not a curated record. NCBI's taxonomy places the organism in Eukaryota, Metazoa, Arthropoda, Insecta, Diptera, Tephritidae.